RNAcentral lists this long non-coding RNA (1151 nucleotides) under Felis catus (domestic cat). Its description in RNAcentral is "lncRNA (ENSFCAG00000046980.1)". The stretch from base 1014 to 1086 matches the Rfam family "mir-133 microRNA precursor family". The record is from RNAcentral. Lineage: Eukaryota; Metazoa; Chordata; Mammalia; Carnivora; Felidae.
CUUUCAGAGGCCCGUCACUGUGGUGAUUGAGGUGGACAGAAGGCAUGGACAUGACCAAGGCCCUUAAAAGACACAAACAGGUGGAGAGUGUGCUGGGGGUGGGCAGAGGGCUGGGGACUACAAAAGCAGGAGGCUCGCUUGGAGAGCAGGGACAAGAGAAGGCAGAGGGUGAGGCUGGCAAGGAGCAGGAAGAGGGGAGGGGACAUGGGACGCAAAGUUGCAGCCGAACAGGACACAAGAGGAGGUUAAGUAACAAUCAAAAACAGACCUAAGAGAAAGACAGGCAGCUGAGAGGAGGGAGCACAGGCGAGAGAUGACAGACCAUUGGGGCCAGGGGCAUACAUACAGGAAGACAAAGAUGGUUCCUCUGUGUGUGACUAGAAGGCCAGCGAUUCAAAGGAGAAGAGUAAAAGGAAAGAAAACAGGGUAUAAGUGAGGAGACAAAACAAGUAAUAAGUGCACAGAUACUAGUUAAAUGCUUUCAAAAUCACCAGGCUGUUAGGCUGAGUUGGAGGAAGCCUCACAGCCAUACCCAGGAGGGGACCCUCAGUAAGACAGAGGCAGGCAAUUUAAGUAGCUAGCUACUGAGGUAAAAAUGAAAAAAAAAAAAAAAAUAGAAAAUGGAAAAGGUGAGAAGCAGGAGAAGGAAAACCCAAAGGAGACACUGGCCCAGAAACCUUUUUAACUUUCUGUAAGAAUCUUCAAGGCCCCAAACUAGGCCAAGAUUCUGACUGACAUUUCUGAGCUCACCAGCUGCUGUUUCCUUGAGAGAAUUCUGACAGGAAGGCAUAGAAAUGCAAGCCAACACUGCCAGCUCUGAAAAAAAAAAAAACACACAAAUAAUAACAACCCAUGCUCUAAACACCUCAAUGGGGCCGAAGCCUGCCAGGGAAGAAGGCGCACCGCGGAGGGACCCGCCUGCAACUUUCCCCCAGGUUUGGAAAAGCGAUGUGUGGCUAUACCAAGGAAUCCUCACCUUAGAGGCUACAGUCACCUCCCAAGGGAGCUGCCCCCUGCUCUGGCUGGUCAAACGGAACCAAGUCCGUCUUCCUGAGAGGUUUGGUCCCCUUCAACCAGCUACAGCAGGGCUGGCAAUGCCCAGUCCUUGGAGAAACAGAAGAGAUUCACCGGAAGCUGAAAUUACCUACUAA